GACGAACGCUGGCGGCGUGCUUAACACAUGCAAGUCGAACGGAAAGACGCUGCUCUUGUGGGGUGCUCGAUUGGCGAACAGGUGAGAAACACGUGAGUAACCCCCCCUUGACUUUGUGAUAACAUCAGGAAAAAGGGGCGAAUACCGCGUAGAAGAUCCUGCUGCGUGGUGUUCGUUGGAAAGUGUCGGCGGUGGGGGCUGGACUGGCGGCUUAUCAGCUUGUUGGUCUGGUAGUGGCUUACAAAGGCUUCGACGGGUAGGCGGCCUGAGAGGGGGAACGGGGACAAUGGGACUGAGAGACGGAGCAGAAUGCAAUGGGAGGCAGUAGUCGGGAAUCUUGCGCAGUGGGCGGGCGCGUGAGACAGCAACGCUGGGUGCGUAAUGCCGGCUUACGGGGUGUAAACAGCUUUCGAAGGAGCCGAAGCGUGAGUGACGGUAAUGGGUAAAGAAGCACCGGCUAACUACGUG
RNAcentral lists this ribosomal RNA (468 nucleotides) under uncultured bacterium. RNAcentral's name for it is "partial 16S ribosomal RNA". It matches the Rfam family "Bacterial small subunit ribosomal RNA", at positions 28 to 507 of the family's 1533-position model. The record is from RNAcentral.